GCUGUCACAACCAGGCAAUAACUUGCCUCCAUCCCCCCCACCUUCCCUUGCACGGAGCAGGGAAGGACACUGAUGGGGAAACAAGGGGAACGGAGGGGAAGGAUGACACAUGUUCAGCCUAACCCACUGUCAUAGCAGCCGGGGAGGCAGAGCCAAUGGCUGCUUUUCAUGCUCAGCGAGUCCGUCCACCUCCACCCCCCUCGAGUCCUUAAGUUGCAGCUUUUAGCUACCUCGGUGUUCAAAGAAAAUAUGAUGCUCAGCGUGAACAGAAGGAAGAGCCUGCUGACAGGUAGACAGCAUGGACACUGAUCCUGGCAGGGCUGGCUGCUGAGAGAGCUUUUACCCUUUAGGAUUCAUGUUUUCAAGCCUUUAUCAACCUACAUAGUUGGAAAUGCUAAAGCAUUUUUAUAAAAGCACUGAGAAUCCUCCAGAAUCGAGGGCUGUGUGAAGAAAAAAACAUCUACUGCCUGUAGUGCACGAGAUAUGAUCUCGGGCACGGCCAGCGCCCUUUGCAAAGUAACCGUCUUCUACUAAAUCUUCAGGAACCUGAGGAGCCUUGUUGCUAUCUUCACUCCAAAUCCUAUUGCUUCACAGAUCUGAAGUUCAGGAGGGAUCAUCCAGUCUGAUCCAACGGGGGAGCGUCGCCUGGCAGCUCCCUCAUCAAGGGCAGACACUUCUAGUUGAGCUGCAGCAGGUCUCUCAGAAAAAUACCCCAUCACGGUGUAAAGACUUCCAGGGAUGCAGGAUUCCCGUGAUUAAUCGCUGCCUGUCUUUGAAAACUUUGAGCCUGUCCAACGUGUCAUGGGGCAGGAUGUAUGGCGUUCUCAUCGAUCCCUGCUCACUGUCCAGUCAGGUUCUUCGAGGUGAUAAAUAAACUCUUGUAAAAAUUAAGGAGGAAAUUGUCCUUUAGCAAACACAUGGCACAAUUCCAGCUUCCAUGAGUCCACUUGAAUACUCAUGGCAGAGCGAUUAUUCUUUUUCUUGGCUCCAGGAGCUAGUUUCGUAAAUGGAGCGAUCUCCACCGUGGGUGAGCGCGGAGGGCUGACCAGGCUGUUGGGGAGCCAGGCUGGGGGGAGGAAAACCCUGGGGCCCUGUCAUUUUGAAGAAGAUACAUCUAGAAGCAGGGCACCCCAAGUACCCUGCGUGGCUAAUAUUGGGUGCGAGCAUGGUAGUUGCAAUGAUAAAUCUUUUCAAGGUCUGUGGAAAGGCCCUUCUGCUUUUGGGGUGGCAUCUGGGGAAUGGCCUUUGGGGCCGGUGCGGGGAAGCCCCGAAUCGCCCUGUGAAGGUGCAGGGCAACAGCGAGGCAGAUGUGGAGGAUUUGACCCUCCCCGAGCUACCAGGGAGCCUGUGCUGGGCCGAGAGGAGCGCAUCCUCGUGUUCUGCAGACACAUUUUCCUCCUGCUCCCAGCCCGGGCACCUCGGUUUAGCAUCUGGCAAACUCGCUGCCGCGGGCAGAGCGCGCAUCGACGCCGCGGCGGGCCAGGCUGGCAGCUCCUGGGAGCUCGGCCCCGCCAGCAGCCUCUCUUGGUGAGAGCUCGCUCGCAAAGAAAAAAUACGGAAGCAAAUCUUACAUGACACAUUUAUUUUUGUCGUCUGUUUAUUAGCUCAGAGCAAAAGUCCUGCUGCGCUGCAUUGUGGGGAUUAUGCAAAUGUGGGACAUCAAGACAAUUAAAAAAAAAAGCCCAAGUGAGCACAAUGUCACAGGCGAGCAGAGGCUCAGAGGCAGCACAGCUCUCCCUCGCUCCUGCACCCUCGCCCGGCGCGGGACACCCAGCGCCAGCCCAGCGCAUCGCCUGGUCCAGCACGUCCUCCUCCGGCUCAGAGCUCUCAUUGCUCUUGUCCAGACCGCCGGAGGGGCCGGCAGGGUCUCGCCAUGGCCCUUCUCCAGCUAAAACCGCUGGUGGACUGGACGGUCGCUGGCACCGGAGCAGGCUCUGGCUCUUUUUAUGGGUCUGAAGCCUGGCUAAAUCCCCACUGAAUCAUCCGCUGUCGCGCUGACAGUUCAGGAUUUACGAGAGCUAAAGUGAAGGGAUAGCAAUGAGCCAAAAAAAAAAAAAAAAAAAGUCCCAAAUUCGACUUAUCUCUGCUUUUGCAAGCCCCAGAGGAUGUGUGUCUGCAGAGAUAAUCCUGGCUGAACCCCUCUGUUCUGAGAUAGGAUCAAGGGAGAGCUCUGGUUGGGCGCUAAGGAAGCUGGAGUGUGUGUCAGCAGCUGCAUCCAGGGGCAGCUGGAGCCCCGGCAGCUCCUGGGAGCAGAAAAAUGCUGUUUCCCGAAAGCGUGUGGCAGCGACCGCGCAGAGCGGCAUUCGGGGAGACAACGAGAGACACUGAGAACAGCAGGGACACUCGCUCGCGUCCUCACCCUGCUGACCGCGCUCAUUAGAGCAGGAAUGCUGCCUCCGAAUUUCAGCUAUUCCAGCUAUUUUUAAUUUCCCUGCCUGCUGAAAGCACACAUUGGUGCACCCGGGUAUUUUUUUUUUUUUGCCCUGGUGAUUGAUACUUCCCCUCCUAGGUCAGGAUCUCUUUUGUGUCUGUCUCGAGAAGGAGGGACGAGGACAAAGCGAAAGAGGGAGAAAGGGCGAGCGCGGAGGGCGGGCGGCCUCGUCGCCCGGCGCCGGGCUCUGCCGCGCACGGAUGCAGAAGCAGCGCGGAUGCGGGAGCGAGCGCUGCCGGCGGGGAGGGCGCGGGAGGCGGCGGAUGAUUUAUGCGCUAACCUCGCGUCGGGGUUGCGGGCUGCCUUCCCCAGCUGGCGCGGGAGGGAGCCGUCCUGGCGUCGCCCCUUCCACCCGCCUCCCGCCCGCCCCGCCGCCGCACACGUCCGUGCGAUCCCCGCGCAAUUAGGAAGACACCUCUUCGGCUCCGCUCUCGGCGCUGGGCUUUUGUUCCUCCCCGGCUCGGCUGGCAAAGCUCGGCCCCUCUGCGCGGCGGCGUUCGGCGCUCGCUGGGUUGUUAAGUUGCUUUUCAUAAUCUCUUCCAAAGAAUUCCAGUCCCGCUGGAGUCCCGAAAUUGAGGCGGCAGGGAGGAGAGAGGAAAAAAAAAAAAGGAGGAAAAAGUAAGACGGCGUUUUUCUCUUUCUUUCUUUGUCUGGAGUCUUGCCUGGCGGAGCUGUGUGUGCGUGCGAGCGAGCCGGGGAAGAGCAGUGCAUGCACACAUGCACACGCGGUAGGCGAUGGGCGUUCGUGAGGAACACAGGCAAAACGCACCCGCACCUGCAUUCAUCCUCGCGUGUGCGUGUGUGUUAGCUGUGCAGCUCACCCCGUGUCCUUAAACUGCGGAUAAUGUCCGUGUAGGAGCACAUCCAAAGAAAUUCAAGCUCCUUAUCUGCUUUUUUAUUGUACAAUUGAAAAUGUGUUAUGUAUCUGUAUACGAAUAUAUAGACCUGUAUGUAUUCA
Molecule: long non-coding RNA, 3389 nt
Organism: Dromaius novaehollandiae (emu)
Lineage: Eukaryota; Metazoa; Chordata; Aves; Casuariiformes; Dromaiidae
Exons: 2
Source: RefSeq, a predicted model, not a curated record